GUGGAAGGGUGGGGAAAUAGAGGAAAUGGAAGAGAAGAAAGAGAGUGAUUUUCUUCAUCCUGUCCUGGAUCUGGAUCCCUUUUAAUAGGAUCUCUCCUGGACAGUUCUGAGCACUUCGAAGUGCAUCCAAUUCAGGUCACAGUAGGUGGGCAAAGGACUUCAGACCCUGGAGACACAAAGGUAUUCUCCACUGGUUGAAUGCAAAUGGAAGCCAGAGGAAAAGGGAACCCUUGACACAGUUUUCAUAUAGAUUGGCCUCCAGGGCAGACAGCAG
This is a long non-coding RNA of Homo sapiens (human), 274 nucleotides long. Ensembl annotates it as deleted in lymphocytic leukemia 1. Its record names the gene DLEU1. Lineage: Eukaryota; Metazoa; Chordata; Mammalia; Primates; Hominidae. The record is from Ensembl.